GGUUUUUAAGCUCUAUUGAGAGAAGCCAAAUCAAGAAAUCUAUCUAAUAGUCUUUACAUACAUGGAUCUGGAACUGACACAAGGUUUCACACGGCUAAUGCUUACUAUGUAUCAAUAUACUCUGAUAUUUUCUCUUCUGCUUUUUUUUUUUUUCUUAAUGGCUGGUCACAGUCCACUAAACUGAUUUCACAACCUGCUAAUGGAUGGCAACUGGCAGCUUGAAAAACAGUGAUGUAAUCUAGUAUGCCCACAUGACAGGUCAGAAAGCUGAGGCCCUGAAAUGGGAAGCCAUCUCCCCUUCAUGAAAGGGGAAGUCACGGAGUUGAAGCAGAUCUUAGCCCAGAAGCCGGGUCUCAGAUCCUGGUCACCGACAGGCUAUGUUAUGUGCACUUAUGUAGGAGCUCAGCUCUGGCAGCAGGACAUGGUGGAAAGGGCACUGCUGAGACCUAGCUGGCUCUGCGAUGGAUUCACUGUGUUUCUGAGAUGUGCUUCUUUGCUGACACUGCUGACAGCUGGAUACAGCUACACUGAGAAACACGAGACCCGAGUCCUGUCUGCUUUGGCUUUACGGGUGGCGACGGAUGUGUAAAAGAAACGCAAACACAAACAAGGCAAAGCUUGUCCUCUGCCUAAGGAGAUGCGAUGUCCAGCUGCACUGAACACCCUGCCCAUUAUUCAGAGCUACAUUCCAAUGAUGUUCUACCCCAAGAAUAUGCUAGAGGGACCCAACCACCACUGAGAAAGAGCCGCCUCUGGCUAGCACCCUAAAAUAGGAAGUCUGGCCUUCAGAGCCCCCAAGGCAGGCAGCUGUCCUGGCCGGACACUCUGGCUUGGCAGGCUGGCCCAGGGGAAGCACAGGCUUCUGGCAAGGACCUGAUGGAGAAGAUGCCAUG
Molecule: long non-coding RNA, 893 nt
Filed under: Homo sapiens (human)
Lineage: Eukaryota; Metazoa; Chordata; Mammalia; Primates; Hominidae
Description: HSALNT0399208
Source: RNAcentral